RNAcentral lists this long non-coding RNA (1021 nucleotides) under Parus major (Great Tit). RNAcentral's name for it is "lncRNA (ENSPMJG00000015562.1)". The record is from RNAcentral. Lineage: Eukaryota; Metazoa; Chordata; Aves; Passeriformes; Paridae.
GCUGGUUUCGCGCACUCCACCCUGCCCAGAGCAAGAGCGAACAGCACCAACCACAGGAGGAUCGGCCGGGAAUGAUUCACGGCAGAAUUCCCGCAAUAUUGAGAAUAUUCAGGAAUUAUCCGUUGGUUGGGAUAUUUAGGCUGUUCCAAAAAACAACCCCAAACCAAGAAUUAAUUUUAAAAAAACCCCAAAAUUACAUCCAUGCCCCAUCCCUGGAAGUUCCCAAGGCCAGGUUGGAGCAACCCGGGAGGGCAAAAAUUUGUCCCUGCCCAUGGAUCAGGACGAAGUCUCGACUCCCUUCCGCCCCGAACCAUUCCAGGAUCAUUUUCCGGGAAUAAAAAGCCCCUCCUCGGUUCCUUUUUUUGCCCCUUUGGCCUCGCCCAGAGCUCCUGUGCAGGUGCGGGAAGCACAAAGAACCCGCGGGGUUACGUAAGAGGAAUUUUGGGAAUUCGCUGCCUCCGUCAGCCACAGGUCAGCCCUGGGACAGAAGUUUUUUAGGGAAGUUGGUCCAGGGGAGAUCCAGAGGGGACCUGCAGCUGCUCAGCUCUGGGAUCUCCAUCCUCAGAGCCGGGUUGGGAAGAGCGCAGAGGGGGAAAUUCACUUUUCCGGCGGCUGCUGAAGGCGUUGGGGGGUGGGGGAAUUACCAGCCGAGGCCCAGCGGGGAACACAUCCCCCCCAAAAAUCCCAUAAAUCCCAUAAAACCUCCUGCUCGGGGCUGUCCGGCACCCCCUGAGUGCGGGGAGCAGCUCCAGAGCCUCGCCAGACGGAACUCCCUGCACAACUUGAGCUCCCACACCCGGGAAAAAUCGGGAUUUUGGAGGGGAGAUCCACUCAGUUCUGCCCAAACCACGACCGGGGGGAGGGUGGGGGAGAGUCACGAAAUCAGCACCAGGCCUCGGCCAAAAAAAAACCUCGUCCAAAAAAAAAAUAAUCCUCCCCCAAAACGCUCCUGCCGCACGCGCUGCCUGCCAUUCCCAGGAAAAUCGUCCCCCAAAAGCCCCCAAAUCCCCCAAAAUCGCGG